Molecule: ribosomal RNA, 497 nt
Filed under: uncultured bacterium
Lineage: Bacteria
Description: partial 16S ribosomal RNA
Rfam family: Bacterial small subunit ribosomal RNA
Source: RNAcentral
GAUGAACGCUGGCGGCGUGCCUAAUACAUGCAAGUCGAGCGAACGGACGAGAAGCUUGCUUUUCUGAUGUUAGCGGCGGACGGGUGAGUAACACGUGGAUAACCUACCUAUAAGACUGGGAUAACUUCGGGAAACCGGAGCUAAUACCGGAUAAUAUUUUGAACCGCAUGGUUCAAAAGUGAAAGACGGUCUUGCUGUCACUUAUAGAUGGAUCCGCGCUGCAUUAGCUAGUUGGUAAGGUAACGGCUUACCAAGGCAACGAUGCAUAGCCGACCUGAGAGGGUGAUCGGCCACACUGGAACUGAGACACGGUCCAGACUCCUACGGGAGGCAGCAGUAGGGAAUCUUCCGCAAUGGGCGAAAGCCUGACUGAGCAACGCCGCGUGAGUGAUGAAGGUCUUCGGAUCGUAAAACUCUGUUAUUAGGGAAGAACAUAUGUGUAAGUAACUGUGCACAUCUUGACGGUACCUAAUCAGAAAGCCACGGCUAACUACGUG